Molecule: ribosomal RNA, 577 nt
Filed under: uncultured bacterium
Lineage: Bacteria
Description: partial 16S ribosomal RNA
Rfam family: Bacterial small subunit ribosomal RNA
Source: RNAcentral
UGGGGAAUUUUGGACAAUGGGCGAAAGCCUGAUCCAGCAAUGCCGCGUGUGUGAGGAAGGCCUUCGGGUUGUAAAGCACUUUUGUCCGGAAAGAAAUCCUUGGCUCUAAUACAGUCGGGGGAUGACGGUACCGGAAGAAUAAGCACCGGCUAACUACGUGCCAGCAGCCGCGGUAAUACGUAGGGUGCAAGCGUUAAUCGGAAUUACUGGGCGUAAAGCGUGCGCAGGCGGUUUGCUAAGACCGAUGUGAAAUCCCCGGGCUCAACCUGGGAACUGCAAUGGUGACUGGCAGGCUAGAGUAUGGCAGAGGGGGGUAGAAUUCCACGUGUAGCAGUGAAAUGCGUAGAGAUGUGGAGGAAUACCGAUGGCGAAGGCAGCCCCCUGGGCCAAAUACUGACGCUCAUGCACGAAAGCGUGGGGAGCAAACAGGAUUNGAUACCCUGGUAGUCCACGCCCUAAACGAUGUCAACUAGUUGUUGGGGAUUCAUUUCCUUAGUAACGUAGCUAACGCGUGAAGUUGGCCGCCUGGGGAGUACGGUCGCAAGAUUAAAAACUCAAAUGAAUUGACGGGGUCAUA